CGGGAAUGGAAAGCCCGGUGCAAGCGAAGUAGUCGCAGGGUUGGAAAAUCCGCCCUGCAUGAGACGAAGGCGUGAUGCGGAGCGAAAUGAAGUAGUGAAGCUGCAGCCCCUUCCUGUCGAGAAAAGCCGCUAUCGUGUAGCAAGGGCCCGUACCGUAAACCGACACAGGUGGAUGAGGAGAGGAUCCUAAGGCCGGCGGGAGAAGUGUUGUUAAGGAACUCGGCAAAAUGACUCCGUAACUUCGGGAGAAGGAGUGCUGCGCAAGCAGCCGCAGAGAAAUGGCCCAAGCAACUGUUUAGCAAAAACACAGGUCUAUGCGAAACCGAAAGGUGAGGUAUAUGGGCUGACGCCUGCCCGGUGCUGGAAGGUUAAGGGGAGAGCUUAGCGCGAGCGAAGGUUUGAACUUAAGCCCCAGUAAACGGCGGCCGUAACUAUAACGGUCCUAAGGUAGCGAAAUUCCUUGUCGGGUAAGUUCCGACCCGCACGAAAGGCGUAAUGAUUUGGGCACUGUCUCAACAACACACCCGGUGAAAUUGAAAUACCAGUGAAGAUGCUGGUUACCCGCGCCAGGACGGAAAGACCCCUUGGAGCUUUACUCCAGCCUGAUACUGGGAUUCGGUAUUGCAUGUACAGGAUAGGUGGGAGGCUAAGAACUCAUGGCGCCAGCCGUGAGGGAGCCGGUGUUGGGAUACCACCCCUGCAGUACUGGGUUUCUAACCUGCGCCCGUGACCCGGGCGGGGGACAAUGUCAGGCGGGGAGUUUGACUGGGGCGGUCGCCUCCGAAAGGGUAUCGGAGGCGCUCAAAGGUCUCCUCAGGAUGGUUGGAAACCAUCCAGAGAGUGCAAAGGCAGAAGGAGGCUUGACUGCGACACCGACGGGUGGAGCAGGUACGAAAGUAGGACUUAGUGAUCCGGUGGCAUAAAGUGGGAUUGCCAUCGCUCAACGGAUAAAAGCUACCCUGGGAUAACAGGCUUAUCACUCCCAAGAGUUCACAUCGACGGAGUGGUUUGGCACCUCGAUGUCGGCUCAUCGCAUCCUGGAGCUGGAGCAGGUUCCAAGGGUUGGGCUGUUCGCCCAUUAAAGCGGUACGCGAGCUGGGUUCAGAACGUCGUGAGACAGUUCGGUCCCUAUCCGGCGCGGGCGCAGGAUAUCUGAGAGGAGCUGUCCUUAGUACGAGAGGACCGGGAUGGACCGUCCGCUGGUGGACCGGUUGUCAUGCCAAUGGCACGGCCGGGUAGCCAAGACGGGAAGGGAUAAACGCUGAAGGCAUCUAAGCGUGAAGCCCCCCUCAAGAUGAGAUAUCCAUACUCGAAAGAGUGAGAGACCCCUUAGAGACGAUGAGGUAGAUAGGGCAGAGAUGGAAGUGCAGCGAUGCAUGGAGUUGACUGUUACUAAUCGGUCGAAAGCUUG
Molecule: ribosomal RNA, 1411 nt
Filed under: metagenome
Description: bacterial LSU rRNA
Rfam family: Bacterial large subunit ribosomal RNA
Source: RNAcentral